AAGUCGAACGAUGAUCCCUAGCUUGCUGGGGGGAUUAGUGGCGAACGGGUGAGUAACACGUGAGUAACCUGCCCUUGACUCUGGGAUAAGCCUGGGAAACUGGGUCUAAUACUGGAUAUGACUGACUAUCGCAUGGUGGUUGGUGGAAAGCUUUUGUGGUUUUGGAUGGACUCGCGGCCUAUCAGCUUGUUGGUGGGGUAAUGGCCUACCAAGGCGACGACGGGUAGCCGGCCUGAGAGGGUGGACGGCCACACUGGGACUGAGACACGGCCCAGACUCCUACGGGAGGCAGCAGUGGGGAAUAUUGCACAAUGGGCGCAAGCCUGAUGCAGCGACGCCGCGUGAGGGAUGAAGGCCUUCGGGUUGUAAACCUCUUUCAGUAGGGAAGAAGCGAAAGUGACGGUAC
This 406-nucleotide ribosomal RNA is filed under the name Arthrobacter parietis. RNAcentral's name for it is "bacterial SSU rRNA". It matches the Rfam family "Bacterial small subunit ribosomal RNA", at positions 59 to 478 of the family's 1533-position model. Lineage: Bacteria; Bacillati; Actinomycetota; Actinomycetes; Micrococcales; Micrococcaceae. The record is from RNAcentral.